UACGGAGGAUGCGAGCGUUAUCCGGAUUUAUUGGGUUUAAAGGGUGCGUAGGCGGACUGUCAAGUCAGCGGUAAAAUUGAGAGGCUCAACCUCUUCCCGCCGUUGAAACUGGCGUUCUUGAGUGGGCGAGAAGUAUGCGGAAUGCGUGGUGUAGCGGUGAAAUGCAUAGAUAUCACGCAGAACUCCGAUUGCGAAGGCAGCAUACCGGCGCCCUACUGACGCUGAGGCACGAAAGCGUGGGUAUCGAACAGG
RNAcentral lists this ribosomal RNA (252 nucleotides) under uncultured bacterium. Its description in RNAcentral is "partial 16S ribosomal RNA". It matches the Rfam family "Bacterial small subunit ribosomal RNA", at positions 524 to 776 of the family's 1533-position model. The record is from RNAcentral.